Molecule: long non-coding RNA, 491 nt
Filed under: Theobroma cacao (cacao)
Lineage: Eukaryota; Viridiplantae; Streptophyta; Magnoliopsida; Malvales; Malvaceae
Description: long non-coding RNA (TCAC_LNC002141)
Source: RNAcentral
UUAAAUCAAAUUUUUAUAAAAGUAGGCCGUUUACCAAGGACCAACUCCUAAAAGAGCAACCGAAGUAAUCAUAAAUAAGACACCUAAAAUUGAAUAAUAAUAAAAAAAACAUUGAUUUGUGUUCAAUCAAUCGCCCAAAAUUCUUGAUAAGGCCUGAACAAGGUAGGGUCAAGAUCAGGAUUGAAUACAAUAAAAGCUUAGGCUUAGAGCAUACAUAUCUCGUAAUUGUGCAUGCAAGAGCCGGUGGUCCAUGGUUUUUGCAACCGAUAAAGUUUACAAUAAGGCUACGAGCGAUAGGCCUCCAAUUGCAAAUAAGGAGCAGGGGGAACAUAAAUAUGAAAGGAGCUUGCCACCAAACUCAUUUUCCUUUAUCGGGACGGUACAGAAGUAACAACCAAGACUGCAUUCCUUUCUAAUGCAACCCUUUUUGACUUCAAUAUUGUUUUUAUUUAUUUUAAUUUUUAUUGUUAUUUUUAUCUUUUAAUGCAAGC